This 75-nucleotide transfer RNA is filed under the name Clostridiales bacterium. RNAcentral's name for it is "tRNA-Glu". It matches the Rfam family "tRNA". Rfam says of the family: Transfer RNA (tRNA) molecules are approximately 80 nucleotides in length. Their secondary structure includes four short double-helical elements and three loops (D, anti-codon, and T loops). The record is from RNAcentral. RNAcentral also lists the same sequence under 1 other name. Lineage: Bacteria; Bacillati; Bacillota; Clostridia; Eubacteriales.
GCUCCCAUGGUCAAGCGGUUAAGACACCGCCCUCUCACGGCGGUAACAGGGGUUCGAGUCCCCUUGGGAGCGCCA